GUUUGGGAAUGCAGCUCAAAGUGGGUGGUAAAUUCCAUCUAAGGCUAAAUAUAAGUGAGAGACCGAUAGCAAACAAGUACCGUGAGGGAAAGAUGAAAAGAACUUUGAAAAUAGAGUUAACAGUACGUGAAAUUGCUGAAAGGGAAACGUUUGAAGUUAGUAUUGUAUUCGUUGGAUCAGCUUCGCAAGGAGUGUAUUCCGAUGAUAAGCAAGUCAACAUCAGUCUAUGAGUGUUGGAGAAGGGUUUUGAGAAUGUAGCAAUUUAAUUGUGUUAUAGCUUGAGACUUGGAUACGACGCUCUUGAUUGAGGAACGCGUAGUAAGCUUUGAGCAGGUUCGAAAGGAUCUCCUUACUAUGGAUGUUGGUGAAAUAACUUUAAGCGACCCGUCUUGAAACACGGACCAAGGAGUCUAACAUGCUUGCGAGUAUUAGGGCGUUGAAACCCGAAUGCGUAAUGAAAGUAAUUUCAGAUGUGAUCCGCAAGGUGCAACAUCGACCGGUCCUGAUUAUUUAUAUGACGGUACUGAGUAAGAGCAAGUAUGUUAGGACCCGAAAGAUGGUGAASUAUGCCUGGAUAGGG
This 580-nucleotide ribosomal RNA is filed under the name Melampsora pinitorqua. Its description in RNAcentral is "eukaryotic LSU rRNA". It matches the Rfam family "Eukaryotic large subunit ribosomal RNA", at positions 272 to 846 of the family's 3401-position model. Lineage: Eukaryota; Fungi; Basidiomycota; Pucciniomycetes; Pucciniales; Melampsoraceae. The record is from RNAcentral.